UGGGGAAUCUUGCACAAUGGGGGCAACCCUGAUGCAGCGACGCCGCGUGAGCGAUGAAGCCCUUCGGGGCGUAAAGCUCUUUCGACCGGAACGAUAAUGACGGUACCGGGAGAAGAAGCUGCGGCUAACUACGUGCCAGCAGCCGCGGUAAUACGUAGGCAGCGAGCGUUGUUCGGAGUUACUGGGCGUAAAGAGUGCGUAGGCGGCGAGCCAAGUUUGGUGUGAAAUCUCCCGGCUUAACCGGGAGGGUGCGCCGAAAACUGGUUGGCUGGAGUAUGGGAGAGGAAAGCGGAAUUCCUGGUGUAGCGGUGAAAUGCGUAGAUAGCAGGAGGAACACCUGCGGUGUAGACAGCUUUCUGGACCAAAACUGACGCUGAGGCACGAAAGCGUGGGUAGCAAACA
Molecule: ribosomal RNA, 402 nt
Filed under: uncultured bacterium
Lineage: Bacteria
Description: bacterial SSU rRNA
Rfam family: Bacterial small subunit ribosomal RNA
Source: RNAcentral